This 526-nucleotide long non-coding RNA is filed under the name Zea mays. RNAcentral's name for it is "long non-coding RNA NONZMAT002120". Lineage: Eukaryota; Viridiplantae; Streptophyta; Magnoliopsida; Poales; Poaceae. The record is from RNAcentral.
CUCUUUCUUUUUUACCUUCCCUCUAGCGAUCAAUACAUGCCUGCACAAAACUGAAGCUAUAGCUCAUUUGGAGUUCCCUACCGCAGUCUCUGCUGAACUGUUCGUGGCGGAAUUGUGUUGUGCUCCAGGGGUGGUGAUGCUGUCGUCGUCGUGCUUGUGGCACCAGGUCGAGGCAGUUCCGGCGGAAGGUCUGUCCUGCUCCUGCCAUGAUUCGUUGACACGUUUGCCUGGGGAAGGUGUCUGCUGCUGGCGCCCAAGGUCGAUCAGUUUGUGGUCCCGCCUGCACCGCUAGAGCGCGAUGCCCUCAUCUGGUUCUCGCCUUCUUGUUCGCCAAUUGACAGUUGUUGCGGUCUACAUUCGACCAGCUACGGAUUUGAUCUGGCUUCAACAGCGGUCGGUUCGACAUUGCAGCGCCUUUGAAGAUCGGGAAACACCAUGUGUCCAUGUGAGAAGUGAGUAGCGGCAUCCGAUCGAGUAGAUGAAUUGUUUUGUACACGCAGCAUGUUCAUAUAGAAAUAGAAAAAAG